This 72-nucleotide transfer RNA is filed under the name Ictidomys tridecemlineatus (thirteen-lined ground squirrel). RNAcentral describes it as "Spermophilus tridecemlineatus (thirteen-lined ground squirrel) tRNA". It matches the Rfam family "tRNA". Rfam says of the family: Transfer RNA (tRNA) molecules are approximately 80 nucleotides in length. Their secondary structure includes four short double-helical elements and three loops (D, anti-codon, and T loops). The record is from Rfam by way of RNAcentral. Lineage: Eukaryota; Metazoa; Chordata; Mammalia; Rodentia; Sciuridae.
UGGGUUGUGGCUCAGUGGUAGAGUGCUUGCCUACCAUGCUUGAGGGACUGAGUUUGAUCCUCAGCACCACAU